RNAcentral lists this ribosomal RNA (407 nucleotides) under uncultured microorganism. Its description in RNAcentral is "bacterial SSU rRNA". It matches the Rfam family "Bacterial small subunit ribosomal RNA", at positions 9 to 412 of the family's 1533-position model. The record is from RNAcentral.
GAGUUUGAUCGUGGCUCAGAUUGAACGCUGGCGGCAUGCCUUACGCAUGCAAGCCGAACGGCAGCAUGAUCUAGCUUGCUAGAUUGAUGGCGAGUGGCGGAACGGGUGAGUAAUACAUCGGAACGUGCCCUGUAGUGGGGAUAACUAGUCGAAAGAUUAGCUAAUACCGCAUACGACCUGAGGGUGAAAGUGGGGGACCGCAAGGCCUCAUGCUAUAGGAGCGGCCGAUGUCUGAUUAGCUAGUUGGUGGGGUAAAGGCCCACCAAGGCGACGAUCAGUAGCUGGUCUGAGAGGACGAUCAGCCACACUGGGACUGAGACACGGCCCAGACUCCUACGGGAGGCAGCAGUGGGGAAUUUUGGACAAUGGGCGAAAGCCUGAUCCAGCAAUGCCGCGUGUGUGAAGAA